This 506-nucleotide ribosomal RNA is filed under the name uncultured bacterium. Its description in RNAcentral is "partial 16S ribosomal RNA". It matches the Rfam family "Bacterial small subunit ribosomal RNA", at positions 29 to 523 of the family's 1533-position model. The record is from RNAcentral.
AGUGAACGCUGGCGGUAGGCCUAACACAUGCAAGUCGAACGGCAGCACAGAGGAGCUUGCUCCUUGGGUGGCGAGUGGCGGACGGGUGAGGAAUACAUCGGAAUCUACUCUGUCGUGGGGGAUAACGUAGGGAAACUUACGCUAAUACCGCAUACGACCUACGGGUGAAAGCAGGGGGUCUUCGGACCUUGCGCGAUUGAAUGAGCCGAUGUCGGAUUAGCUAGUUGGCGGGGUAAAGGCCCACCAAGGCGACGAUCCGUAGCUGGUCUGAGAGGAUGAUCAGCCACACUGGAUCUGGGACACGGUCCAGACUCCUACGGGAGGCAGCAGUGGGGAAUAUUGGACAAUGGGCGCAAGCCUGAUCCAGCCAUACCGCGUGGGUGAAGAAGGCCUUCGGGUUGUAAAGCCCUUUUGUUGGGAAAGAAAUCCAUCUGGUUAAUACCCGGGUGGGAUGACGGUACCCAAAGAAUAAGCACCGGCUAACUUCGUGCCAGCCGCCGCGGUAA